This 507-nucleotide ribosomal RNA is filed under the name uncultured bacterium. RNAcentral's name for it is "partial 16S ribosomal RNA". It matches the Rfam family "Bacterial small subunit ribosomal RNA", at positions 28 to 507 of the family's 1533-position model. The record is from RNAcentral.
GACGAACGCUGGCGGCGUGCCUAAUACAUGCAAAUCGAACGCAUUUUCUUUCACCGUAGCUUGCUACACCGAAAGAAAAUGAGUGGCGAACGGGUGAGUAACACGUGGGUAACCUGCCCAUCAGCGGGGGAUAACACUUGGAAACAGGUGCUAAUACCGCAUAAUUCCAUUUACUGCAUGGUAGAUGGAUGAAAGGCGCUUUUGCGUCACUGAUGGAUGGACCCGCGGUGCAUUAGCUAGUUGGUGGGGUAACGGCCUACCAAGGCUGCGAUGCAUAGCCGACCUGAGAGGGUGAUCGGCCACACUGGGACUGAGACACGGCCCAGACUCCUACGGGAGGCAGCAGUAGGGAAUCUUCGGCAAUGGACGCAAGUCUGACCGAGCAACGCCGCGUGAGUGAAGAAGGUUUUCGGAUCGUAAAACUCUGUUGUUAGAAAAGAACAAGGAUGAGAGUGGAAAGUUCAUCCCUUGACGGUAUCUAACCAGAAAGCCACGGCUAACUACGUG